Long non-coding RNA from Rosa chinensis, 1519 nucleotides. RefSeq lists it as uncharacterized. NCBI's taxonomy places the organism in Eukaryota, Viridiplantae, Streptophyta, Magnoliopsida, Rosales, Rosaceae. The transcript is spliced from 4 exons. The record is from RefSeq and is a predicted model, not a curated record.
CUCAGACAUAGAGCUUUGCAGAAGACCGGACUUGCACAAUGACGUUUGAUGCUUUUACUGCUUCAGUCAUUUUGUUUUUGCUGGGUAUGCACCUUGGAGUUCAUCAAAAUCCCAAUUUAGGGAUUCUCUGAUUCUGGGUAUACGGCGUUAAAUGGCUCGGUGCUUUGGGUUCGGAUGGUCUCGGCUAGAGGGCUGCAUAAUGUUCUUGCUUCCGCUUAUAAGAUUAUGCAGCAAAUAGUGAGUUCUGCUUUGGUUCACUCCCUUAUAGCUUCAUCAACAUUGAGUCCCUCACAGGAUCAAACUACAAAAAGUGGAAAGCAGACAUGGAGAUCUAUUUGAGCAUUCACCAUCUAGAUAUGCCUAUGUAUAAGGAACCUCCAGCAGCUCUCACUAUAGCUAGCACCAGUGAUGGCCGAAAAUACUUUGAUGAGUGCCUUAGGCUGAAUAGAGUUUGUAAAAACAUAAUGAAGAGAACCAUGUCAGAUGCCAUUAGUGGUAGCAUUGAAGAGAAGGAGUUGGCCACAGACUUUCUAGCUUCCAUUGGUGAAAAAUUCACAGAGAGUGACAAGGCUCAAACUGCAAUUUUGCUGGGGAAAUUAAUGAACACUAAGUACACCAGUUCAGGGAAAAUUAGGGAACACAUUUUGAAGUUUGUAGACUAUGCAGCUAAACUAAAAGCCUUGAAGAAUCUUGUUUCUGAUGAGAUGAUUAUCCACCAUGUUCUGAAUUCUCUACCACCUAGUUUUGAACAUCUCAACACCAGCUACUUAGCAUAGAAAGACAAAUGGAACAUCAAUGAGUUGAUUUCAAUUUCGUGCAAGUGGAUGACAGAAUUAAGAAAGAAAAGGGUGAGAAGACAGUUAAUCUUGUGGGGAAACCUAAGUGGAAAGGAAACAACCAGAAGGGGAAGAAAUUUAACUGGAAACAAGCCCUAGCUCCAGCCUUUGAGUAUAAAAUUCCCAAACCUUAUCAGACAAAAUGCUACUUCUGCAGAAAACCCGGCUACCAUAAGAAAUAUUGUACUGGUUUCAAAGCUUGGUUGAAUAAAAAAAAGGGAUACAGAAGGAAGAGAAAUCCCAGAAGUGAGGAACAAAACAUAUGUAUUGGCAAUGGAUCAAGGGUGUAGCAAUGAAGGCAAUAGGAUCUGUUAGACUAGAUUUAGGAUCUGGAAAUUUUAUUGUUUUAGACAAUGUCUAUUUUGUACCUUCCAUGAGAAGGAAUUUGAUAAGUGUCUCCCUUUUAGUUAAACUUGGUUGUAGCUUUCUUAUUGAUUGUAAUGGAAUAAAGAUUUCAAGAAAUUCUUUUCAUAUUUGAUGAAGAAUACAAGCAGAAUAUUUUAAGUCAAGAUUUGGAAAGUAGUUCAAAUAUAUCUAGGUUUUUAUUAUUAGGAUUCUUAUAAUUAUUAGGAUUAUUUCUUUAGGAUUCUUCAAGGAUAUCCCUAGUUAUUCUAGAGUUAUCUUAGCCUCCCUAUAUAUAGAGGCCUUUGUAGUCUUUUAUUGGCAGAAUUGAGUUAAUAAAA